This 206-nucleotide unclassified non-coding RNA is filed under the name uncultured fungus. Its description in RNAcentral is "sequence contains ITS2". Lineage: Eukaryota; Fungi. The record is from RNAcentral.
AAUUCUCAACCCCUAAAUUUUUGUAAUGAAAGUUUAGUGGGCUUGGACUUGGAGGUUGUGUCGGCUGUUCUUAGUUGACUCCUCUGAAAAGCAUUAGCGUGAAUCUUACGGAUCGCCUUCAGUGUGAUAAUUAUCUGCGCUGUGGUGUUGAAGUAUUUAUUAGUUCAUGCUUAUAAUCGUCUCUGACUGGAGACAAUUAUUUGACA